Molecule: ribosomal RNA, 350 nt
Filed under: uncultured bacterium
Lineage: Bacteria
Description: bacterial SSU rRNA
Rfam family: Bacterial small subunit ribosomal RNA
Source: RNAcentral
UGCUGCAUGGCUGUCGUCAGCUCGUGUCGUGAGAUGUUGGGUUAAGUCCCGCAACGAGCGCAACCCUUGUCAUUAGUUGCUACGAAAGGGCACUCUAAUGAGACUGCCGGUGACAAACCGGAGGAAGGUGGGGAUGACGUCAAGUCCUCAUGGCCCUUAUGGGUAGGGCUUCACACGUCAUACAAUGGUACAUACAGAGCGCCGCCAACCCGCGAGGGGGAGCUAAUCGCAGAAAGUGUAUCGUAGUCCGGAUUGUAGUCUGCAACUCGACUGCAUGAAGUUGGAAUCGCUAGUAAUCGCGGAUCAGCAUGUCGCGGUGAAUACGUUCCCGGGUCUUGUACCACAACGCA